AUUGGGCUGGGUUCGGUAUGGCUCUUUACUGGCCUUCCCAUUCCAAGUCAGUUGAGUGUCCGGACUCGAGCGAAGGCUUGCGGUUCAGGCUCUCUUAGAGCGGAGAAGACUGUGAGCCUCGUUUCACAGAGCAGCGUCUAUCUCCCGCUUUCGACGGUGGAAGGAUUACGGGCUGUUGCCUCCCGAACCCACUAUGACCCAAU
This 203-nucleotide signal recognition particle RNA is filed under the name Brassica napus (rape). RNAcentral's name for it is "SRP RNA Plant_SRP". It matches the Rfam family "Plant signal recognition particle RNA", at positions 70 to 277 of the family's 305-position model. The record is from Rfam by way of RNAcentral. Lineage: Eukaryota; Viridiplantae; Streptophyta; Magnoliopsida; Brassicales; Brassicaceae.